GGCAAUUAAAGUCGGUAUGGAAAUAAAGACUACUUUCAACUAUAUUACUGUUUUCUUUUGAUGAAUUAUUUGACGAAAUGGUGCAACAAUUAUCAAAGAAGUUUUGCCAGGGAUGCAAAGUUGAACAUGGAUCACAACAUAGACACGAUUGUUUGAUGGAUAGUGAACUGGAUAAACUUGAAAAAACAUUUUGAACAGGCGUUCUGUGAAUUUAAAU
This 217-nucleotide long non-coding RNA is filed under the name Mytilus galloprovincialis (Mediterranean mussel). Lineage: Eukaryota; Metazoa; Mollusca; Bivalvia; Mytilida; Mytilidae. The record is from RNAcentral.